This 446-nucleotide ribosomal RNA is filed under the name uncultured bacterium. RNAcentral's name for it is "partial 16S ribosomal RNA". It matches the Rfam family "Bacterial small subunit ribosomal RNA", at positions 338 to 795 of the family's 1533-position model. The record is from RNAcentral.
CCUACGGGUGGCAGCAGUCGAGAAUCAUUCACAAUGGGGGAAACCCUGAUGGUGCGACGCCGCGUGGGGGAAUGAAGGUCUUCGGAUUGUAAACCCCUGUCAUGUGGGAGCAAAUUAAAACGAUCGUACCACACGAGGAAGAGACGGCUAACUCUGUGCCAGCAGCCGCGGUAAUACAGAGGUCUCAAGCGUUGUUCGGAAUCACGGGGCGUAAAGCGUGCGUAGGCUGUUUCGUAAGUCGUGUGUGAAAGGCGCGGGCUCAACCCGCGGACGGCACAUGAUACUGCGAGACUAGAGUAAUGGAGGGGGAACCGGAAUUCUCGGUGUAGCAGUGAAAUGCGUAGAUAUCGAGAGGAACACUCGUGGCGAAGGCGGGUUCCUGGACAUUAACUGACGCUGAGGCACGAAGGCCAGGGGAGCGAAAGGGAUUAGAUACCCCAGUAGUC